CGGAGAGUUUGAUCCUGGCUCAGGACGAACGCUGGCGGCGUGGAUAAGGCAUGCAAGUCGAACGGGAUGGAGUUGCAAGCAAUUGCUUCUCCUGAGAGUGGCAAACGGGUGAGUAACACGUGGGUAACAUACCUCCGGGUGGGGGAUAACCCAGGGAAACCUGGGCUAAUACCGCAGACGUCUGACCGUCCAUGACGGACUGACUAAAGGUGGGGACCUUCGGGCCCGCCGCCUGGAGAUUGGCCCGCGCCCCAUUAGCUUGUUGGCGGGGUAACGGCCCACCAAGGCGACGAUGGGUAGCCGGCCUGAGAGGGUGUCCGGCCACACUGGGAUUGAGAUACGGCCCAGACUCCUUCGGGAGGCAGCAGUCGAGGAUCUUCCACAAUGGGCGAAAGCCUGAUGGAGCGACGCCGCGUGAGGGAUGAAGGCCCUUUGGGUUGU
RNAcentral lists this ribosomal RNA (441 nucleotides) under Candidatus Fermentibacterota bacterium. RNAcentral's name for it is "bacterial SSU rRNA". It matches the Rfam family "Bacterial small subunit ribosomal RNA", at positions 1 to 426 of the family's 1533-position model. Lineage: Bacteria; Pseudomonadati; Candidatus Fermentibacterota. The record is from RNAcentral.